This 253-nucleotide ribosomal RNA is filed under the name uncultured bacterium. Its description in RNAcentral is "partial 16S ribosomal RNA". It matches the Rfam family "Bacterial small subunit ribosomal RNA", at positions 524 to 776 of the family's 1533-position model. The record is from RNAcentral. RNAcentral also lists the same sequence under 1 other name.
GACAGAGGUGCCGAGCGUUAGGCGGAAUCACUGGGCUUAAAGCGUGUGUAGGCGGGCGAUCAAGUACCUUGUGAAAUCCCACGGCUCAACCGUGGAACCGCUGGGUAUACUGGUUGUCUUGAGCCGGCUAGGGGCGAGCGGAACAGACGGUGGAGCGGUGAAAUGCGUAGAUAUCGUCUGGAACGCCGAAGGUGAAAACAGCUCGCUGGGGCCGCGCUGACGCUGAGACACGAAAGCCAGGGGAGCGAACGGG